Elusimicrobia bacterium GWA2_51_34 is the source of this 82-nucleotide non-coding RNA. The record is from Rfam. NCBI's taxonomy places the organism in Bacteria, Pseudomonadati, Elusimicrobiota.
GCCGAGGUGGCGGAACUGGCAGACGCGUACGGCUUAGGACCGUAUGGGGUAACCCGUCGGGGUUCAAGUCCCCGUCUCGGCA